This 279-nucleotide ribosomal RNA is filed under the name uncultured bacterium. RNAcentral's name for it is "partial 16S ribosomal RNA". It matches the Rfam family "Bacterial small subunit ribosomal RNA", at positions 506 to 784 of the family's 1533-position model. The record is from RNAcentral.
UGCCAGCCGCCGCGGUAAUACGGAGGGUGCAAGCGUUGUUCGGAAUCAUUGGGCGUAAAGCGAGCGCAGGCGGAAUGGUAAGUCGGAUGUGAAAGCCCUCGGCUCAACCGAGGAAGUGCACUCGAUACUGCCAUUCUUGAGUACUGGAGAGGAAAGCGGAAUUCCCGGUGUAGAGGUGAAAUUCGUAGAUAUCGGGAGGAACACCAGUGGCGAAGGCGGCUUUCUGGACAGAUACUGACGCUGAGGCUCGAAAGCGUGGGGAGCAAACAGGAUUAGAUA